This 468-nucleotide ribosomal RNA is filed under the name uncultured bacterium. RNAcentral's name for it is "partial 16S ribosomal RNA". It matches the Rfam family "Bacterial small subunit ribosomal RNA", at positions 28 to 507 of the family's 1533-position model. The record is from RNAcentral.
GACGAACGCUGGCGGCGUGCUUAACACAUGCAAGUUGAACGGAAAGGCCCUGCUUUUGUGGGGUGCUCGAGUGGCGAACGGGUGAGUAACACGUGAGUAACCUGCCCUUGACUUUGGGAUAACUUCAGGAAACUGGGGCUAAUACCGGAUAGGAGCUCCUGCUGCAUGGUGGGGGUUGGAAAGUUUCGGCGGUUGGGGAUGGACUCGCGGCUUAUCAGCUUGUUGGUUGGGGAGUGGCUUACCAAGGCUUUGACGGGUAGCCGGCCUGAGAGGGUGACCGGCCACAUGGGGACUGAGAUACGGCCCAGACUCCUACGGGAGGCAGCAGUGGGGAAUAUUGCACAAUGGGCGGAAGCCUGAUGCAGCAACGCCGCGUGCGGGAUGACGGCCUUCGGGUUGUAAACCGCUUUCGCCUGUGACGAAGCGUGAGUGACGGUAAUGGGUAAAGAAGCACCGGCUAACUACGUG